This 429-nucleotide ribosomal RNA is filed under the name uncultured bacterium. Its description in RNAcentral is "bacterial SSU rRNA". It matches the Rfam family "Bacterial small subunit ribosomal RNA", at positions 355 to 776 of the family's 1533-position model. The record is from RNAcentral.
UGGGGAAUAUUGGACAAUGGGCGAAAGCCUGAUCCAGCCAUGCCGCGUGUGUGAAGAAGGUCUUCGGAUUGUAAAGCACUUUAAGUUGGGAGGAAGGGGUUGAAGCUAAUACCUUCAAUCUUUGACGUUACCAACAGAAUAAGCACCGGCUAACUCUGUGCCAGCAGCCGCGGUAAUACAGAGGGUGCAAGCGUUAAUCGGAAUUACUGGGCGUAAAGCGCGCGUAGGUGGUUCAGUAAGAUGGAAGUGAAAUCCCCGGGCUUAACCUGGGAACUGCUUUCAUAACUGCUGAGCUAGAGUACGGUAGAGGGUAGUGGAAUUUCCUGUGUAGCGGUGAAAUGCGUAGAUAUAGGAAGGAACACCAGUGGCGAAGGCGACUACCUGGACUGAUACUGACACUGAGGUGCGAAAGCGUGGGGAGCAAACAGG